Molecule: ribosomal RNA, 399 nt
Filed under: uncultured bacterium
Lineage: Bacteria
Description: bacterial SSU rRNA
Rfam family: Bacterial small subunit ribosomal RNA
Source: RNAcentral
GGAAUAUUGCGCAAUGGGGGCAACCCUGACGCAGCAACGCCGCGUGGACGAUGAAGGCCUUCGGGUCGUAAAGUCCUUUUCUGAGGAAAGAUAAUGACGGUACCUCAGGAAUAAGUCCCGGCUAACUACGUGCCAGCAGCCGCGGUAAAACGUAGGGGGCGAGCGUUAUCCGGAUUUAUUGGGCGUAAAGCGCACGUAGGCGGCAUUAUAAGUUGGAUGUGAAAGCUCCCGGCUCAACUGGGAGAGGCCGUUCAAUACUGUAAUGCUUGAGGUUAGAAGAGGAGAGUGGAAUUCCCGGUGUAGUGGUGGAAUGCGUAGAUAUCGGGAGGAACACCAGUGGCGAAGGCGACUCUCUGGUCUACACCUGACGCUGAGGUGCGAAAGCGUGGGUAGCGAACG